CCUGGAGGGAGGGGAGAGAGACACCAAUGAUCUUCUCUGCUGCUUUCACUAUGUGUUGAAGAGUCUUCUCUGUAGAAGGUGUACAUGAUGGGGGGUAGGGCUCUGGCUCUCCUCAGUUUGCGGAGGAAGUAGAGACGCUGCUGUGCUUUCUUGGCAAGUGCUGCGGUGUUGUCGGUCCAGGAGAGGUCCUCUGUGAUGUGUACACCCAGGAACUUGGUGCUGCUCACUCUCUCCACAGUCGCACCAUUGAUGGUCAGAGGAGCAUGCUAAGUGUGCACUCUCCUGAAGUCAACAACAAUCUCCUUUGUCUUCUCCAUGUUCAGAGAGAGACUGUUGUCACUGCACCACCCGGCCAGGCGGUUCACCUCGCUCCUGUAGUUUGUCUCAUCUCUGUUGCUAAUGAGACCCACCACAGUCAUGUCAUCCCCAAACUUAAUAAAGAGGUUGGAGUUGUGUGACGGUAUGCAGUCGUGGGUCAGAGGAGGGGUCUCAGCACACAUUCUUGGGGGGCCCCAGUGUUCAGUGUGAUGAUGUUGCUGUCACAGGUCCGCAGUGGGGGCUUGUAGUCUGUAAUGGUCUGUAUCCCCUGCCGCAGGCUCCGAGUGUCUCUGCUGUCGCUGAAACGAUGGGCUAUCCUCCUGGAGUACUGUCUCUUAGCCUGUCUGAUGGGGCAGCUGUGGCCUAAUGGUCAGAGAUUUGGACUUGUAACCAGAAGGUCGCAGGUUCGAAUCUCGGUGCUGGCAGGAGUUGUAGGUGGGAGGGAGUGAAUGAACAGCGCUCUCUUCCACCCUCAAUACCCAUGGCUGAAGUGCCCUUGAGCAAGGCACUGAACCCCCAGUUGCUCCCCGGGUGCUGGAUAUAGCUGCCCACUGCUCCGGGUGUGUGUUCACGGUGUGUUCACUUCUCACUGUUGUGUGUGUGCACUUGGAUGGGUUAAAUGCAGAGCACCAAUUUCGAGUAUGGGUUACCAUACUUGACAAAUGUCACGACUUUCACUUUCACUUGAUGCCGUGGGAUAGGUUGGCCCUUGCUGUCCUCAGGCCCACCUCAUCUCCAGCUUUGAAGGCAGCGUUCCCCAUCUUCAGGUGUCUGUAGACCUCCC
Long non-coding RNA from Cyprinus carpio carpio, 1102 nucleotides. The record is from Ensembl. NCBI's taxonomy places the organism in Eukaryota, Metazoa, Chordata, Actinopteri, Cypriniformes, Cyprinidae.